UACGAGAAGUGCAAGUGUUACUCCUCAUGAUUGGGCGUUAAGGGUAUGUAGAUUGUAAUUAAAAGUUAGAGAUACAUUUUUUAAAUUGAUUAAUAUUUUUAUCUUUUAAUACUUUUUUUACUUGAGUAACAAUAAAGAUAGUAGAACUACUAAUUGAGCGUUUUAAAAUGCAUUUUGUAGAUUAGUGGGAAUAUCAAAUGGCGAAGGCAUAUAUCUAUUGUAUACUGACAUUGAGGUACGAAAGCAUGGGUAUCAAAUGGG
Molecule: ribosomal RNA, 261 nt
Filed under: uncultured bacterium
Lineage: Bacteria
Description: partial 16S ribosomal RNA
Rfam family: Bacterial small subunit ribosomal RNA
Source: RNAcentral